RNAcentral lists this ribosomal RNA (452 nucleotides) under Thermosphaeroma cavicauda. RNAcentral's name for it is "partial 16S ribosomal RNA". It matches the Rfam family "Bacterial large subunit ribosomal RNA", at positions 1848 to 2586 of the family's 2925-position model. The record is from RNAcentral. Lineage: Eukaryota; Metazoa; Arthropoda; Malacostraca; Isopoda; Sphaeromatidae.
CUCGGCCAAAUCUGCCCAGUGAAUACAUUCAACGGCCGCAGUAUUUUAACUGUGCUAAGGUAGCAUAAUCAUUUGCUUUUUAAUUGAAAGCUCGUAUGAACGAUUCGACGAAAAGUUGACUCUCUUAAGCCUCCGACUAACUUACUCGGGAGGUAAAAAAGCCCCCCUUCCCCGAUAGGACGACAAGACCCUACAAAACUUUACUCGUCACCCGCGAUUUACUUCUAAACGGUAAUCGAGUUUUGCUGGGGCGGCAAAUUUUAACGAAAACAAACUUUCCCCUAACACCUUGAGUGAUAUCUACUAACCCUUUUAAGGAAUAAAAUAAGUUACUUUAGGGAUAACAGCGCCAUGUUCCUCUAGAGCCCUUAUCGACAGGAACGUUUACGACCUCGAUGUUGAAUUGAAGCGCCUACUCGGGGUAGCCCCCAAUUGAGGGAGUCUGUUCGACU